AACGCGAAGAACCUUACCAGGUCUUGACAUCCUCAUGAAAGCAGCAGAGAUGUUGCCCCUCUUCGGAGCAUGGGAGACAGGUGGUGCAUGGUUGUCGUCAGCUCGUGUCGUGAGAUGUUGGGUUAAGUCCCGCAACGAGCGCAACCCUUGGAUUUAGUUGCCAGCAUUGAGUUGGGCACUCUAGAUCGACUGCCGGUGACAAACCGGAGGAAGGCGGGGAUGACGUCAAAUCAUCAUGCCCCUUAUGACCUGGGCUACACACGUACUACAAUGGCCGGUACAACGGGAAGCGAAACCGCGAGGUGGAGCGAAUCUUUAGAAGCCGGUCUCAGUUCGGAUUGCAGGCUGCAACUCGCCUGCAUGAAGUCGGAAUUGCUAGUAAUCGCGGAUCAGCAUGCCGCGGUGAAUACGUUCCCGGGCCUUGUACACACCGAUACUC
RNAcentral lists this ribosomal RNA (439 nucleotides) under uncultured bacterium. RNAcentral's name for it is "bacterial SSU rRNA". It matches the Rfam family "Bacterial small subunit ribosomal RNA", at positions 958 to 1398 of the family's 1533-position model. The record is from RNAcentral.